RNAcentral lists this ribosomal RNA (931 nucleotides) under Exserohilum rostratum. Its description in RNAcentral is "partial large subunit ribosomal RNA". It matches the Rfam family "Eukaryotic large subunit ribosomal RNA", at positions 21 to 967 of the family's 3401-position model. Lineage: Eukaryota; Fungi; Ascomycota; Dothideomycetes; Pleosporales; Pleosporaceae. The record is from RNAcentral.
UCUUACCCGCUGAAACUUAAGCAUAUCAAUAAGCGGAGGAAAAGAAACCAACAGGGAUUGCCCUAGUAACGGCGAGUGAAGCGGCAACAGCUCAAAUUUGAAAUCUGGCUCUUUCAGAGUCCGAGUUGUAAUUUGCAGAGGGCGCUUUGGCUUUGGCAGCGGUCCAAGUUCCUUGGAACAGGACGUCACAGAGGGUGAGAAUCCCGUACGUGGUCGCUAGCUAUUGCCGUGUAAAGCCCCUUCGACGAGUCGAGUUGUUUGGGAAUGCAGCUCUAAAUGGGAGGUAAAUUUCUUCUAAAGCUAAAUAUUGGCCAGAGACCGAUAGCGCACAAGUAGAGUGAUCGAAAGAUGAAAAGCACUUUGGAAAGAGAGUCAAACAGCACGUGAAAUUGUUGAAAGGGAAGCGCUUGCAGCCAGACUUGCUUGCAGUUGCUCAUCCGGGCUUUUGCCCGGUGCACUCUUCUGCAGGCAGGCCAGCAUCAGUUUGGGCGGUGGGAUAAAGGUCUCUGUCAUGUACCUCUCUUCGGGGAGGCCUUAUAGGGGAGGCGACAUACCACCAGCCUAGACUGAGGUCCGCGCAUCUGCUAGGAUGCUGGCGUAAUGGCUGUAAGCGGCCCGUCUUGAAACACGGACCAAGGAGUCUAACAUCUAUGCGAGUGUUUGGGUGUCAAGCCCGAGCGCGUAAUGAAAGUGAACGGAGGUGGGAACCCGCAAGGGUGCACCAUCGACCGAUCCUGAAGUUUACGGAAGGAUUUGAGUAAGAGCAUGGCUGUUGGGACCCGAAAGAUGGUGAACUAUGCUUGAAUAGGGUGAAGCCAGAGGAAACUCUGGUGGAGGCUCGCAGCGGUUCUGACGUGCAAAUCGAUCGUCAAAUUUGGGCAUAGGGGCGAAAGACUAAUCGAACUAUCUAGUAGCUGGUUCCUGCCGAGUU